Molecule: small nucleolar RNA, 71 nt
Organism: Cricetulus griseus (Chinese hamster)
Lineage: Eukaryota; Metazoa; Chordata; Mammalia; Rodentia; Cricetidae
Product: small nucleolar RNA SNORD93
Source: Ensembl
UGGCCAAGGAUGAGAACUCUAACCUGAUUGGAAAAGCUACUCUGAUGGGUUAAAGGAUUUACCUGAGGCCA